This 32-nucleotide unclassified non-coding RNA is filed under the name Mus musculus (house mouse). Its description in RNAcentral is "oocyte_clustered_small_RNA2136". The record is from RNAcentral. Lineage: Eukaryota; Metazoa; Chordata; Mammalia; Rodentia; Muridae.
CCAACGGUCUUUCUCCCAGCAGGAGAAUAGAG